UGGGGAAUCUUGGUCAAUGGGCGAAAGCCUGAACCAGCGACGCCGCGUGAGUGAUGAAGGCCUUCGGGUUGUAAAGCUCUGUGGGGCGAGACGAAAACCUGGGUUCUAACAGGACUCAGCUUGACGGUAUCGCCUUAGCAAGCACCGGCUAACUCUGUGCCAGCAGCCGCGGUAAGACAGAGGGUGCAAACGUUGCUCGGAAUCACUGGGCGUAAAGGGCGUGUAGGCGGGAGAGAAAGUCGGGCGUGAAAUCCCUGGGCUCAACCCAGGAACUGCACUCGAAACUUCCCUUCUUGAGUGCCGGAGAGGAAAGCGGAAUACCUGGUGUAGAGGUGAAAUUCGUAGAUAUCAGGUGGAACACCAGUGGCGAAGGCGGCUUUCUGGACGGUAACUGACGCUGAGACGCGAAAGCGUGGGGAGCAAACAG
Molecule: ribosomal RNA, 427 nt
Filed under: uncultured bacterium
Lineage: Bacteria
Description: bacterial SSU rRNA
Rfam family: Bacterial small subunit ribosomal RNA
Source: RNAcentral